ACUAUGAAAAGCUAAGGAUUUAGUCCUCGUCUUUGCUUGCUUGUUGAUAGCUGGAGGAGUCGGCAUUGUCAUCUAUAACCAUUGUGCUAAGAGACCCAGUCGAAAAAGGGAUAACGACAGCGAUAUCUGAUCUUGCUCCCAACAAACCGGUUUCAGUCAGGCAAAGGAGCUGGGAGGCGAUGGGCGGAGAGAAUGGGUGCAUGGUGGGACAAUGGGAGGAAGCUAAGAAGACCAGGCUUUACCUGUACAGACAUAAAGAACAGCAACCAGCCUCUCCACUUUAUAUUUCCAAAACAACACCAUCAGUAAGCAGCCUUACAAUGUCAUAGUUUCACUUUGUUUGAUCCAAACAAGUCUAUGUGAUGUUUUCCCCUAAUAUUACUUUAUUUUGUCCAAAUCUUUCCUUAUAUGUCCUUAUAUUAUUAUUUCCACAGCCUGUAAAUAUGGAGGAGUUAGACAGCAUUAUCUGACAUCUCUAAAGGGUGCAUAGAUUGUACUAGAAUGUUCCACAAUGCUAGGUGCCAUAUUUAGAAAAUGAUGAAGGCUAAUCAUAAUAAAUACAUUUAUUUUAUGGUGCCCAUUACACUCGGUGAUGUGUGAGUAAUUCUAGAUACAUUUAGUUUUAUUGGGUCCGCUAUUGUACUACAAAAAAAAGAGUUUGGGGAAAUAAAUGUUACUAACUUGAAUGCAUGUCAAAAUUCAAAUAAAUGCCACUAUUUAAAAGUUAA
Molecule: long non-coding RNA, 728 nt
Organism: Fundulus heteroclitus (mummichog)
Lineage: Eukaryota; Metazoa; Chordata; Actinopteri; Cyprinodontiformes; Fundulidae
Exons: 3
Source: RefSeq, a predicted model, not a curated record